RNAcentral lists this ribosomal RNA (313 nucleotides) under Scymnus lijiangensis. Its description in RNAcentral is "LSU rRNA". It matches the Rfam family "Eukaryotic large subunit ribosomal RNA", at positions 666 to 944 of the family's 3401-position model. Lineage: Eukaryota; Metazoa; Arthropoda; Insecta; Coleoptera; Coccinellidae. The record is from RNAcentral.
CCAAGGAGUCUAGCGUGUGCGCGAGUCAUUGGGAUAACACUAAACCUAAAGGCGCAAUGAAAGUAAAAGUUCGUCUAGCGCGAACCAAGGGAAGACGGUCGGUCUUAUUAGGACUGGCCCGCAUUCCCGGGGCGUCUCGUUCUCAUUGCGAGAAGAGGCGCACCAAGAGCGUACACGCUGGGACCCGAAAGAUGGUGAACUAUGCCUGGUCAGGACGAAGUCAGGGGAAACCCUGAUGGAGGUCCGUAGCGAUUCUGACGUGCAAAUCGAUCGUCGGAACUGGGUAUAGGGGCGAAAGACUAAUCGAACCAUC